RNAcentral lists this ribosomal RNA (414 nucleotides) under Streptococcus sp. oral taxon 431. Its description in RNAcentral is "bacterial SSU rRNA". It matches the Rfam family "Bacterial small subunit ribosomal RNA", at positions 28 to 432 of the family's 1533-position model. The record is from RNAcentral. Lineage: Bacteria; Bacillati; Bacillota; Bacilli; Lactobacillales; Streptococcaceae.
GAUGAACGCUGGCGGCGUGCCUAAUACAUGCAAGUAGAACGCUGAAGGAAGGAGCUUGCUCUUUCCGGAUGAGUUGCGAACGGGUGAGUAACGCGUAGGUAACCUGCCUGGUAGCGGGGGAUAACUAUUGGAAACGAUAGCUAAUACCGCAUAACAGUAGAUAUUGCAUGAUAUCUGCUUGAAAGGUGCAAUUGCAUCACUACCAGAUGGACCUGCGUUGUAUUAGCUAGUUGGUGAGGUAACGGCUCACCAAGGCGACGAUACAUAGCCGACCUGAGAGGGUGAUCGGCCACACUGGGACUGAGACACGGCCCAGACUCCUACGGGAGGCAGCAGUAGGGAAUCUUCGGCAAUGGACGGAAGUCUGACCGAGCAACGCCGCGUGAGUGAAGAAGGUUUUCGGAUCGUAAAGCU